This 2876-nucleotide ribosomal RNA is filed under the name Stenotrophomonas maltophilia. RNAcentral describes it as "bacterial LSU rRNA". It matches the Rfam family "Bacterial large subunit ribosomal RNA". Lineage: Bacteria; Pseudomonadati; Pseudomonadota; Gammaproteobacteria; Lysobacterales; Lysobacteraceae. The record is from RNAcentral.
UCAAGCGAAUAAGCGCACACGGUGGAUGCCUUGGCGGUCAGAGGCGAUGAAGGACGUGGCAGCCUGCGAAAAGUAUCGGGGAGCUGGCAACAAGCUUUGAUCCGGUAAUGUCCGAAUGGGGAAACCCACCCGCUUGCGGGUAUCCUGCAGUGAAUACAUAGCUGCUGGAAGCGAACCUGGUGAACUGAAAUAUCUAAGUAACCAGAGGAAAAGAAAUCAACCGAGAUUCCGUAAGUAGCGACGAGCGAACGCGGACUAGCCCUUAAGCUGGAUUGGUUCUAGGAAAACGCUCUGGAAAGAGCGGCCAUAGAAGGUGAUAGCCCUGUAUCUGAAAGGGCCAUUCCAGUGAAGACGAGUAGGGCGGGGCACGUGAAACCCUGUCUGAACAUGGGGGGACCAUCCUCCAAGGCUAAAUACUACUGACCGACCGAUAGUGAACCAGUACCGUGAGGGAAAGGCGAAAAGAACCCCGGAGAGGGGAGUGAAAUAGAACCUGAAACCGUGUGCGUACAAGCAGUAGGAGCUCCGCAAGGAGUGACUGCGUACCUUUUGUAUAAUGGGUCAGCGACUUACUGUUCGUGGCAAGCUUAACCGUAUAGGGGAGGCGAAGGGAAACCGAGUCUGAUAAGGGCGCAUAGUCGCGGGCAGUAGACCCGAAACCGGGUGAUCUAGUCAUGCCCAGGGUGAAGGUGCGGUAACACGCACUGGAGGCCCGAACCCACUCCCGUUGCAAAGGUAGGGGAUGAGGUGUGAUUAGGAGUGAAAAGCUAAUCGAACCCGGAGAUAGCUGGUUCUCCUCGAAAGCUAUUUAGGUAGCGCCUCAUAUGUAUCCUCUCGGGGGUAGAGCACUGUUAUGGCUAGGGGGUCAUCGCGACUUACCAAACCAUUGCAAACUCCGAAUACCGAGACGGACUGUAUGGGAGACACACGGCGGGUGCUAACGUCCGUCGUGAAAAGGGAAACAACCCAGACCCACAGCUAAGGUCCCAAAUUCACUGCUAAGUGGAAAACCAUGUGGAAAGGCACAGACAGCCAGGAGGUUGGCUUAGAAGCAGCCACCCUUUAAAGAAAGCGUAAUAGCUCACUGGUCGAGUCGGUCUGCGGGGAAGAUUUAACGGGGCUAAGCAGUGAACCGAAGCUUGGGGUGCAUACUUUGUAUGCGCGGUAGAGGAGCGUUCCGUAAGCCGUUGAAGGUGGAUUGAGAAGUCUGCUGGAGGUAUCGGAAGUGCGAAUGCUGACAUGAGUAACGAUAAUGCGGGUGAAAAACCCGCACGCCGAAAGCCCAAGGUUUCCUUGCGCAACGUUAAUCGGCGCAGGGUGAGUCGGCCCCUAAGGCGAGGACGAAAGUCGUAGUCGAUGGGAAGCAGGUUAAUAUUCCUGCACCUCGCGUAAGUGCGAUGGAGGGACGGAGAAGGUUAGGUGUACCAGGCGUUGGUUGUCCUGGGGAAAGGCGGUAGGUUUGGAUCUUUGGCAAAUCCGGGAUCCUCUAAGACCGAGCACCGAGACGAGCCUUUAUGGCGAAGUCACUGAUACCACGCUUCCAGGAAAAGCUCCUAAGCUUCAGCUUACGCAGACCGUACCGUAAACCGACACAGGUGGGUAGGAUGAGAAUUCUCAGGCGCUUGAGAGAACUCGGGUGAAGGAACUAGGCAACAUGGCACCGUAACUUCGGGAGAAGGUGCACCCUUUUUGGUGGCUCGUGCGAGCUAUAGCUGAAGAGGGUCGCAGUAACCAGGCCGCUGCGACUGUUUAUCAAAAACACAGCACUCUGCAAACACGAAAGUGGACGUAUAGGGUGUGACGCCUGCCCGGUGCUGGAAGGUUAAUUGAUGGGGUCAGCCGCAAGGCGAAGCUCUUGAUCGAAGCCCCAGUAAACGGCGGCCGUAACUAUAACGGUCCUAAGGUAGCGAAAUUCCUUGUCGGGUAAGUUCCGACCUGCACGAAUGGCGUAACGACAGCGGCGCUGUCUCCACCCGAGACUCAGUGAAAUUGAAAUCGCUGUGAAGAUGCAGCGUUCCCGUGGCAAGACGGAAAGACCCCGUGAACCUUUACUAUAGCUUUACACUGAACGUUGAGUUCGUCUGUGUAGGAUAGGUGGGAGGCUAUGAAACCAUGGCGCUAGCUGUGGCGGAGCCAUCCUUGAAAUACCACCCUGUCGUGCUUGACGUUCUAACCUGGGCCCAUUAUCUGGGUCGGGGACCGUGUAUGGUGGGUAGUUUGACUGGGGCGGUCUCCUCCUAAAGAGUAACGGAGGAGCUCGAAGGUACGCUCAGCGCGGUCGGACAUCGCGCACUGUGUGCAAAGGCAUAAGCGUGCUUGACUGCAAGAUCGACGGAUCAAGCAGGUAGGAAACUAGGACUUAGUGAUCCGGUGGUUCUGUAUGGAAGGGCCAUCGCUCAACGGAUAAAAGGUACUCCGGGGAUAACAGGCUGAUACCGCCCAAGAGUUCAUAUCGACGGCGGUGUUUGGCACCUCGAUGUCGGCUCAUCACAUCCUGGGGCUGUAGUCGGUCCCAAGGGUAUGGCUGUUCGCCAUUUAAAGUGGUACGCGAGCUGGGUUCAGAACGUCGUGAGACAGUUCGGUCCCUAUCUGCCAUGGGCGUUGGAGAUUUGAGAGGGGCUGCUCCUAGUACGAGAGGACCGGAGUGGACGAACCUCUGGUGUUCCGGUUGUCACGCCAGUGGCAUUGCCGGGUAGCUAUGUUCGGAAGCGAUAACCGCUGAAAGCAUCUAAGCGGGAAGCGCGCCUCAAGAUGAGAUCUCCCGGGGCACAAGCCCCCUGAAGGAACCAUGUAGACUACGUGGUUGAUAGGUCAGGUGUGUAAGUACAGCAAUGUAUUGAGCUAACUGAUACUAAUGAUCCGUGCGGCUUGACCAU